AAUGGGUCAGCGACUUAUAUUCUGUAGCAAGGUUAACCGAAUAGGGGAGCCGAAGGGAAACCGAGUCUUAACUGGGCGUUAAGUUGCAGGGUAUAGACCCGAAACCCGGUGAUCUAGCCAUGGGCAGGUUGAAGGUUGGGUAACACUAACUGGAGGACCGAACCGACUAAUGUUGAAAAAUUAGCGGAUGACUUGUGGCUGGGGGUGAAAGGCCAAUCAAACCGGGAGAUAGCUGGUUCUCCCCGAAAGCUAUUUAGGUAGCGCCUCGUGAAUUCAUCUCCGGGGGUAGAGCACUGUUUCGGCAAGGG
Molecule: ribosomal RNA, 308 nt
Filed under: Escherichia coli
Lineage: Bacteria; Pseudomonadati; Pseudomonadota; Gammaproteobacteria; Enterobacterales; Enterobacteriaceae
Description: partial 23S ribosomal RNA
Rfam family: Bacterial large subunit ribosomal RNA
Source: RNAcentral